UAAUCGCACUGAAAGGUGAGGAAAGUCCAUACUCGCACUGACUGAGAUGUCAGUAGUGUUCGUGCUAAACUAAAAAAUAAGUUUAGGUACUUAAAAAAGUAACGGCAGACAAUUUUACCUAAGUACGAAGUAUAUGGUAAAAUAUAUCUUGAAAGUGCCACAGUGACGUAGUUUUUAUAGAAAUAUAAAAAGUGGAACGCGGUAAACCCCACGAGCGAGCAAUUCAAAUUUUGGUAGAAGCACUUAUUUCGUAGAAAUGAAUAUAGAAAUAGGAGAUAAUAUUUAUCUAGACAGAUGAUUACAACUAUUUUUACAAGAGUUCUAGUUGCUCGUUAUAGUAAGAAUAGAUACAGAAUAUGGCUUAU
RNAcentral lists this RNase P RNA (365 nucleotides) under uncultured Gemella sp. Its description in RNAcentral is "Bacterial RNase P class B". It matches the Rfam family "Bacterial RNase P class B". Rfam says of the family: Ribonuclease P (RNase P) is a ubiquitous endoribonuclease, found in archaea, bacteria and eukarya as well as chloroplasts and mitochondria. Its best characterised activity is the generation of mature 5'-ends of tRNAs by cleaving the 5'-leader elements of precursor-tRNAs. Lineage: Bacteria; Bacillati; Bacillota; Bacilli; Caryophanales; Gemellaceae. The record is from RNAcentral.